This 253-nucleotide ribosomal RNA is filed under the name uncultured bacterium. Its description in RNAcentral is "partial 16S ribosomal RNA". It matches the Rfam family "Bacterial small subunit ribosomal RNA", at positions 524 to 776 of the family's 1533-position model. The record is from RNAcentral.
AACGUAGGAGACAAACGUUAUCCGGAGUUACUGGGCGUAAAGGGCUCGUAGGUGGCCAACUAAGUCAGACGUGAAAUCCCUCGGCUUAACCGGGGAACUGCGUCUGAUACUGGAUGGCUUGAGUUUGGGAGAGGGACGCGGAAUUCCAGGUGUAGCGGUGAAAUGCGUAGAUAUCUGGAGGAACACCGGUGGCGAAGGCGGCGUCCUGGACCAACACUGACACUGAGGAGCGAAAGCCAGGGGAGCAAACGGG